Molecule: ribosomal RNA, 495 nt
Filed under: uncultured bacterium
Lineage: Bacteria
Description: partial 16S ribosomal RNA
Rfam family: Bacterial small subunit ribosomal RNA
Source: RNAcentral
GACGAACGCUGGCGGCGUGCCUAAUACAUGCAAGUAGAACGCUGAAGGAGGAGCUUGCUUCUCCGGAUGAGUUGCGAACGGGUGAGUAACGCGUAGGUAACCUGCCUGGUAGCGGGGGAUAACUAUUGGAAACGAUAGCUAAUACCGCAUAACAGUAGAUGUUGCAUGACAUUUGCUUAAAAGGUGCAAUUGCAUCACUACCAGAUGGACCUGCGUUGUAUUAGCUAGUUGGUGAGGUAACGGCUCACCAAGGCGACGAUACAUAGCCGACCUGAGAGGGUGAUCGGCCACACUGGGACUGAGACACGGCCCAGACUCCUACGGGAGGCAGCAGUAGGGAAUCUUCGGCAAUGGACGGAAGUCUGACCGAGCAACGCCGCGUGAGUGAAGAAGGUUUUCGGAUCGUAAAGCUCUGUUGUAAGAGAAGAACGAGUGUGAGAGUGGAAAGUUCGCACUGUGACGGUAUCUUACCAGAAAGGGACGGCUAACUACGUG